This 497-nucleotide ribosomal RNA is filed under the name uncultured bacterium. RNAcentral describes it as "partial 16S ribosomal RNA". It matches the Rfam family "Bacterial small subunit ribosomal RNA", at positions 28 to 507 of the family's 1533-position model. The record is from RNAcentral.
GAUGAACGCUGGCGGCGUGCCUAACACAUGCAAGUCGAGCGAACAGACGAGGAGCUUGCGCCUUUGACGGUAGCGGCGGACGGGUGAGUAACACGUGGAUAACCUACUUAUAAGACGGGGAUAACUACGGGAAACCGGAGCUAAUACCGGAUAAUAUAUUGAACCGCAGGGUGCAAUAGAGAAAGACGGCUUUGGUGUCAGUAAUAGAUGGAUCCGCGCCGAAUUAGCGAGUUGGUAAGGUAACGGCCUACCAAGGCGACGAUGCGUAGCCGACCUGAGAGGGUGGUCGGCCACACUGGAACUGAGACACGGUCCAGACUCCUACGGGAGGCAGCAGUAGGGAAUCUUCCGCAAUGGGCGAAAGCCUGACGCAGCCACGCCGCGUGAGUGAUGAAGGUCUUCGGAUCGUAAAGCUCUGUUAUUGGGGAAGAACAGCUGUGUAAGUAACUCUGCCCGUCUUGACGGUACCUAAUCAAAAAGCAACGGCUAACUACGUG